CAUCACUGCCUCCAGUGAGGUCGGCUUUCUGCACACCGGUGGGGUGACCACGUUCCAUGUCUGCCAGGGCCACUCUCCCUUCCUCUGCCUACGAAGGAACGGCGCCCUGAAAGCCACGGUCAGCACAGCAGCUCAUCCCGUCAUGAGCUAGACGUUGAACAACACGUCUAAAUCGUGCUCUGGAACAAAGUAAAGAUGCAAAGAUCAUGUUGCCAAUUCUGGGUAUACUUUGGGCAGUUUCAUGCUGGGAACUGGAACACUGUUUUAGUCCAGAGCUUUGCUUUUUGGCAGCCUCUCCAUUGCUCCUGGGCUGCCUCUUUGUCUGCUGAGUAUCACCUCUAGUAUUUGUUUAACCAGCCGUGUCCUGCUGGGUGAGAGCCACCAAGCCACCAUCCUCUGACUGAUGCAACUUUCUUCUAUGUCAACUGAAAACUUCCUCAUCCGUUCCAGUAACCCCGGUCUCGCCCUGAAGAGAACAAAGUCUCCUCUCCACAUAAUGCACGUUAAGCGGCCUCACCUCCAUCUCUUAUGGGAAUACCCAACCAUGUGCUUUACCGCAGCAAUUCAGGGUUUUGCCAUUUGCAGACACCUCCUUAAAUACAACAUGUGUGUAUUUUUAUGGCCACUUUGGAUAAAGUUACCACUGCAGCUGGUAGCUGCAACUUCAAGAUAAAGCUCGCCACGUGACAACCUGAGAAACAGCAAACUAAGGAGCAAGGAAUUGUUAAUUUUCAGACUCCAGCGUGGCUACAUAUACCAACGCUUCUUUACAAUAAACAGAAUAAUGACUUUAACUUGAACAGUUGCCCCUUAGCAGUUGUUACAUUACUUGUAAUUGUUUGCACAAA
RNAcentral lists this long non-coding RNA (848 nucleotides) under Columba livia (rock pigeon). RNAcentral describes it as "partial uncharacterized LOC102089801". The record is from RNAcentral. Lineage: Eukaryota; Metazoa; Chordata; Aves; Columbiformes; Columbidae.